UAAGUUAAUAAGGGCGCACGGUGGAUGCCUUGGCACUAGGAGCCGACGAAGGACGUGACAAACGACGAUAUGCCUUGGGUAGCUGUAAGUAAGCGAUGAUCCAGGGAUUUCCGAAUGGGGGAACCCAACAGGUAAUACCUGUUACCUACAUCUGUUAAGGAUGUGAGGAGGAAGACGCAGUGAACUGAAACAUCUAAGUAGCUGCAGGAAGAGAAAGCAAAAGCGAUUGCCUUAGUAGCGGCGAGCGAAACGGCAGAAGGGCAAACCGAAGAGUUUACUCUUCGGGGUUGUAGGACUGCAAUGUGGACUCAAAGAUUAUAGAAGAAUGAUUUGGGUAAGAUCAGCCAAAGAGAGUAAUAGCCUCGUAUUUAAAAUAGUCUUUGUACUUAGCAGUAUCCUGAGUACGGCGGGACACGUGAAAUCCCGUCGGAAUCUGGGAGGACCAUCUCCCAACCCUAAAUACUCCCUAGUGACCGAUAGUGAACCAGUACCGUGAGGGAAAGGUGAAAAGCACCCCGGGAGGGGAGUGAAAUAGAACCUGAAACCGUGUGCCUACAACAAGUUCGAGCCCGUUAAUGGGUGAGAGCGUGCCUUUUGUAGAAUGAACCGGCGAGUUACGUUAUGAUGCGAGGUUAAGUUGAAGAGACGGAGCCGUAGGGAAACCGAGUCUGAAUAGGGCGCCUUAGUAUCAUGACGUAGACCCGAAACCAUGUGACCUACCCAUGAGCAGGUUGAAGGUGCGGUAAGACGCACUGGAGGACCGAACCAGGGCACGUUGAAAAGUGCUUGGAUGACUUGUGGGUAGCGGAGAAAUUCCAAACGAACUUGGAGAUAGCUGGUUCUCUCCGAAAUAGCUUUAGGGCUAGCGUCGACAUUAGAGAUUCUUGGAGGUAGAGCACUGUUUGGGUGAGGGGUCCAUCCCGGAUUACCAAUCUCAGAUAAACUCCGAAUGCCAAUGAAUUAUGGUCGGCAGUCAGACUGCGAGUGCUAAGAUCCGUAGUCGAAAGGGAAACAGCCCAGACCACCAGCUAAGGUCCCAAAAUAAUUGUUAAGUGGAAAAGGAUGUGGGGUUGCACGGACAACUAGGAUGUUAGCUUAGAAGCAGCUAUUCAUUCAAAGAGUGCGUAAUAGCUCACUAGUCGAGUGACCCUGCGCCGAAAAUGUACCGGGGCUAAAACAAUUUACCGAAGCUGUGGAUACCUUUAUAGGUAUGGUAGGAGAGCGUUCUAUGUGUGAUGAAGGUAUACCGUGAGGAGUGCUGGAACGCAUAGAAGUGAGAAUGCCGGUAUGAGUAGCGAAAGACAGGUGAGAAUCCUGUCCACCGUAAGACUAAGGUUUCCAGGGGAAGGCUCGUCCGCCCUGGGUUAGUCGGGACCUAAGGAGAGACCGAAAGGUGUAUCCGAUGGACAACAGGUUGAUAUUCCUGUACUAGAGUAUGUAGUGAUGGAGGGACGCAGUAGGCUAACUAAAGCAGACGAUUGGAAGAGUCUGUCUAAGCAGUGAGGUGUGAAUUGAGUCAAAUGCUUAAUUCUAUAACAUUGAGCUGUGAUGGGGAGCGAAGUUUAGUAGCGAAGUUAGUGACGUCACACUGCCAAGAAAAGCUUCUAGCGUUUAAACAUACUCUACCCGUACCGCAAACCGACACAGGUAGUCGAGGCGAGUAGCCUCAGGUGAGCGAGAGAACUCUCGUUAAGGAACUCGGCAAAAUGACCCCGUAACUUCGGGAGAAGGGGUGCUGACUUAAAGUCAGCCGCAGUGAAUAGGCCCAAGCAACUGUUUAUCAAAAACACAGCUCUCUGCUAAAUCGUAAGAUGAUGUAUAGGGGGUGACGCCUGCCCGGUGCUGGAAGGUUAAGAGGAGUGCUUAGCGUAAGCGAAGGUAUGAAUUGAAGCCCCAGUAAACGGCGGCCGUAACUCUAACGGUCCUAAGGUAGCAAAAUUCCUUGUCGGGUAAGUUCCGACCCGCACGAAAGGCGUAAUGAUUUGGGCACUGUCUCAACGAGAGACUCGGUGAAAUUUUAGUACCUGUGAAGAUGCAGGUUACCCGCGACAGGACGGAAAGACCCCAUGGAGCUUUACUGCAGUUUGAUAUUGAGUGUCUGUACCACAUGUACAGGAUAGGUAGGAGUCUAAGAGAUCGGGACGCCAGUUUCGAAGGAGACGCUGUUGGGAUACUACCCUUGUGUUAUGGCCACUCUAACCCAGAUAGGUGAUCCCUAUCGGAGACAGUGUCUGACGGGCAGUUUGACUGGGGCGGUCGCCUCCUAAAAGGUAACGGAGGCGCCCAAAGGUUCCCUCAGAAUGGUUGGAAAUCAUUCGCAGAGUGUAAAGGUAUAAGGGAGCUUGACUGCGAGAGCUACAACUCGAGCAGGGACGAAAGUCGGGCUUAGUGAUCCGGUGGUUCCGUAUGGAAGGGCCAUCGCUCAACGGAUAAAAGCUACCCUGGGGAUAACAGGCUUAUCUCCCCCAGGAGUUCACAUCGACGGGGAGGUUUGGCACCUCGAUGUCGGCUCGUCGCAUCCUGGGGCUGUAGUCGGUCCCAAGGGUUGGGCUGUUCGCCCAUUAAAGCGGCACGCGAGCUGGGUUCAGAACGUCGUGAGACAGUUCGGUCCCUAUCCGUCGCGGGCGUAGGAAAUUUGAGAGGAUCUGCUCCUAGUACGAGAGGACCAGAGUGGACUUACCGCUGGUGUACCAGUUGUCUUGCCAAGGCAUCGCUGGGUAGCUAUGUAGGGAAGGGAUAAACGCUGAAAGCAUCUAAGUGUGAAACCCACCUCAAGAUGAGAUUUCCCAUGAUUAUAUAUCAGUAAGAGCCCUGAGAGAUGAUCAGGUAGAUAGGUUAGAAGUGGAAGUGUGGCGACACAUGUAGCGGACUAAUACUAAUAGCUCGAGGACUUAUCCA
RNAcentral lists this ribosomal RNA (2898 nucleotides) under Streptococcus pneumoniae 6901-05. Its description in RNAcentral is "bacterial LSU rRNA". It matches the Rfam family "Bacterial large subunit ribosomal RNA". Lineage: Bacteria; Bacillati; Bacillota; Bacilli; Lactobacillales; Streptococcaceae. The record is from RNAcentral.